UGUUUAAGAAACACAUUUAUACCUCCUCAGUGAGCCAGCUGCCUGUGGCUUGCCAGUUGAUCCUGUCCUCCCACCAGCGCUGUCUAUUUUGCUUCUUGGGAUUUAGGUGCCUAUCAAACCAAGAUGUCUUCUGAGGAGGAAGUAAGUUUUUCUUUCUUGAUUUCUUUUACAUAAAAGAAUUGUGUGUUCAAAAUGGCCAUGUUACAUGAUAGGCAUCUGCUAUCUUCCUGGGUUUCAUUUUGGUGAGAAGCUUG
Molecule: long non-coding RNA, 254 nt
Organism: Eublepharis macularius
Lineage: Eukaryota; Metazoa; Chordata; Lepidosauria; Squamata; Eublepharidae
Exons: 3
Source: RefSeq, a predicted model, not a curated record